CUGAGUUAAAAAUAGAUAGAAAAAUAAUAGAACAUAAUAGUAUACAGUAUUUGUGUACAUGUAGUUUAGUAAACCCUCCCAUCUGAGAGAGCUUGCUCAUGAGAUCGGAAGGAGUGACAGGGAUGAUGGUAGGAUGAGCAAGCACCUAAAGAAGUUAAAUGGUACUGAUCCUGAUGAUAAGUUCCAGUGCAUUAGGUAACUUAGCCACUUUUCCACCAGAACCAUCUCAGCUGGUUGCAAGUACGUCGAAUAUGGUAUUGACAUGUGGUCAGUCAUUACGACACUAUACGAGCAAUACACUGGUCAAAUAUUGUUCCCUGCCAAUGAGAUACUCAAGUUGAAUAUGGAGCUGUAAGGGAAGAUGUCACAUAAAAUGGAAAUGUGUAGGAAGACUCAUUUUUUAAUAGCAGUUUUAGUUUCUUUCAAUAAAGUAACACAAAAAGUUGUGAACCUGAAUUAUCACCUAAAGGACUGAUCUCUCAUUUAUGUUACUGGAGAGCUACGUCAGCCUCAAGAGGCAGUUCGUAGGUACCAGCAACAAGCACUUACUGAUGAUCACUGGGUUAUUGAUAAAGAUGAGGUGACUUUGACAAAAGAGGAGUUAGGAAGAGGAUCUUGAGCUGUCGUUACAAUUGGUAUUUUUAGAAGUUUAAGAGUAGCUGUCAAGUUACAUCAUACUGUCAUCAUCUCAGAUUUUAACCUAGCUCUCUUCUCUAGGGAAAUUAGUACAGUAUAGCAUCACGAGUACGUCAUCCUAACCUGGUCCAGUUUAUUGGUGCAACUGAAGUGGGUAAUCCUCUCAUCUUGACUGAGCUGAUGAGCACUAGUCUUAAUCAGGAGCUUUACAGAACUGAUAAACCAAUCAACAGAUUCUGAGUAUUGCUCAAGAUGUAGCUUUAGGCCUCAGCCUAUUAUUCACAGAAUGUGAGCAGUCCUAACGUAUUAUUAAAGCCUUGCACUGGACCUGCUGGUUAUGAAGCUAAAGUAGCAGAUUAUGGUACAGCUAAGUUAGUUCAAGUUGACAGUAUUGGUACUGUUAUGCCAGGCAAUGUCGCAUAUCCAGCACCAGAAGCUCGUGAUCCUGAUCAACACAGUCCAGCAAUGUUACUCUGUACUUUAUUAUGGAAAUAAUGUUGUACUCUUCCCCCAGAAAUGACGACAGCAUGAGAGAGAUGUACAAUCUGGUAGUGUCUCCUGGUCUGAUAUGAAGUCUCUCAUACAAAGAGGACUUAAUGCUAAUCCUAGAGCUCGUCCUACUAUGGCUCAAGUAAUAGAGUCAUU
Molecule: long non-coding RNA, 1281 nt
Organism: Amphimedon queenslandica
Lineage: Eukaryota; Metazoa; Porifera; Demospongiae; Haplosclerida; Niphatidae
Exons: 3
Source: RefSeq, a predicted model, not a curated record